UUGUCUCAAAGAUUAAGCCAUGCAUGUCUCAGUACAUACCGAAUUAAGGUGAAACCGCGAAAGGCUCAUUAUAUCAGUUAUGGUUCAUUAGAUCGUACUUCACAUUUACUUGGAUAACUGUGGUAAUUCUAGAGCUAAUACAUGCAAACAGAACUCCGACCGGAGACGGAAGGAGCGCUUUUAUUAGAUCAAAACCGAUGGGCGUCGGCGGCCGGCGUGAUCGUGCGCCGCGUCGUCGUCGUCGCAUAGCUCUCACGAUGAAUCUGAAUAACUUUAUGCCGAUCGCACGGUCAAGCACCGGCGACGCAUCUUUCAAAUGUCUGCCUUAUCAACUUUCGAUGGUAGGUUAUGCGCCUACCAUGGUUGUAACGGGUAACGGGGAAUCAGGGUUCGAUUCCGGAGAGGGAGCCUGAGAAACGGCUACCACAUCCAAGGAAGGCAGCAGGCGCGCAAAUUACCCACUCCCGGCACGGGGAGGUAGUGACGAAAAAUAACGAUACGGGACUCAUCCGAGGCCCCGUGAUCGGAAUGAGCACACUUUAAAUCCUUUAACUAGGAUCAAUUGGAGGGCAAGUCUGGUGCCAGCAGCCGCGGUAAUUCCAGCUCCAAUAGCGUAUAUUAAAGUUGCUGCGGUUAAAAAGCUCGUAGUCGAAAUUGUGUCCCGGGCCGCCGGUUCGUCGCUCGCGACGUCAACUGGCGCGCACGCGGGACGUCCAGCCGGUGCUCGAACCCGCCGACGGUGCUCUUAACCGAGUGUCCAGGCGGGGGCCGGCAACGUUACUUUGAACAAAUUAAAGUGCUCAAAGCAGGCUAAACUGCGCUCGCAUAAUCAGUGCAUGGAAUAAUCGAAUAGGACCUCUGUUCUAUUUUGUUGGCUUUUGUAGAACAAACAGAGGUAAUGAUCAAUGGGUGCGGAUGGGGGCAUUCGUAUUGCGACGUUAGAGGUGAAAUUCUUGGAUCGUCGCAAGACGCACUAAAGCGAAAGCAUUUGCCAAAAACGCUUUCAUCGAUCAAGAACGAAAGUUAGAGGUUCGAAGGCGAUCAGAUACCGCCCUAGUUCUAACCAUAAACUAUGCCAGCCAGCGAUCCGCCGAAGUUACUACUAUGACUCGGCGGGCAGCUACCGGGAAACCAAAGCUUUUGGGUUCCGGGGGAAGUAUGGUUGCAAAGCUGAAACUUAAAGGAAUUGACGGAAGGGCACCACCAGGAGUGGAGCCUGCGGCUUAAUUUGACUCAACACGGGAAACCUCACCAGGCCCGGACACCGAAAGGAUUGACAGAUUGAGAGCUCUUUCUUGAUUCGGUGGGUGGUGGUGCAUGGCCGUUCUUAGUUGGUGGAGCGAUUUGUCUGGUUAAUUCCGAUAACGAACGAGAC
RNAcentral lists this ribosomal RNA (1375 nucleotides) under Lampyridae sp. UPOL RK0096. Its description in RNAcentral is "SSU rRNA". It matches the Rfam family "Eukaryotic small subunit ribosomal RNA", at positions 32 to 1341 of the family's 1831-position model. Lineage: Eukaryota; Metazoa; Arthropoda; Insecta; Coleoptera; Lampyridae. The record is from RNAcentral.